Long non-coding RNA from Meriones unguiculatus (Mongolian gerbil), 1782 nucleotides. RefSeq lists it as uncharacterized. The transcript has 3 exons. Lineage: Eukaryota; Metazoa; Chordata; Mammalia; Rodentia; Muridae. The record is from RefSeq and is a predicted model, not a curated record.
GGUUUUGUUCUUCAUGAGCAAGGUGAUUCCAGACUGAAGAAGUACCAGAGGUUCCUUGGUGUGCUUUCUGGUGAGGCUCCUCUGCCAGGCUCAGAUUUGAUGAAGUUUGUAGAAGCUGAAGGAGGUGCAAGCAACAGAGACCCUCAUCUUUACUUAACAGGAGUGAAGACAUUUGAAAUGGCUCACAGCAAUCAAACCACUUUAAGGAGCAUUCUUUUCUGAACCACACACUGGAUCCGUUGAGAAACUUUCUUCACUCUUAAUUAGCCACAGAAAUCGAGGCCAGUAAAAGAAGUAGAUCACUUAAGAGCAAGUACCAGCAGUUUCUGGAAUGUCACAAGCAGUGAUGUCAUUGUCUGUGAUGUCCCCACAGGCAUUUAUCUCCAUUUCCAAGAUUAUUUUUGAAAUUUUCCAAGUUGACUUGGAGAUUUUUCUUGACAUGCUCUAUGUCUUCCGUGUGACACAAUCAAAUGUCCAUGAUGUAAGAGUCGGCAGCGUUGAUUGCUAGAAUCUUGUGUCUGUCCAGAGGGCCUGUUAAAGGUUGUUAAAAUCCAUCUUCUGGUCAUGAAAGUAUACUGUGGCCCCACACUAAAGAAGCCAUUCAGAUGCUGUCCAAUUAGGGCCAACACUGCUGAUGCUUCAUAACCACUAUAUUAAGCAAUGUAUUCAACUAUUCCCAGAAUUAUCUGGAGUUCCAUGACCAUAAGAACUUCAUUAAGCUGCACAGCUGCCCCAAAGUUUUUCAAACAUCCUCAUUUGAUGGCAACCAUCCAUACCAGCUGUUUCUCACUAACAGGACCCUCACUCUCUGCUUUGCACAUUCCUUUCCUGUCCUAAGGAUAAAUUCUGCUUUUCGUAUAUAGGUUCAACUUCUUGUGCUUAUUCGGUGAAUUCAUCAUUUCUGGCAUACUUCUCCAGAAUCUUUACUUUCUGCCACUUUAAUAAUAUGUUCCUUUCUUGUUGCCUGUUUUCUCCCUCUUCCAAUGUCCAUCCCGUUUGCCUUUCUGAGUGAGGAUUGAUCAUCUUACCCAGGAUCCUCCUUCUUGCUUAGCUUCCUUAGGUGUACAGAUUUUAGUAUGUUUAUCCUACAUUAUAUGUCUAAAAUCCACUUAUAAGUGAGUAUAUACCAUGUGUGUCUUUCUGCUUCUGGGAUACCUCACUCAGGAUGAUCUUUUCUGGUUCCCACCAUUUGCCUGCAAAUUUCAUGAUACCACAGAGAACUAUUGAAAGAUUCUACCCAGCAAGGAAUCAAAGGAGAUGCUGACACUCAUAGCAAAACUUAGGGCAGAGUGCAGGGAAUAUUUUUUUUAAUUCUUUAUUAAUUACACUUUAUUCACUUUGUAUCCCCUCUGCAGCUCCCUCCUCCCAUCCCCUCCCAAUCCCUCUGUUACUCCACCCUCUGCAUGCAUGCCCCUCCCCAAGUCCACUGAUAGGAGAGGACUUCUUUUCCUUCCUUCUGAUCCUAGUCAAUUAGGUCUCAUCAGGAGUGGCUGCAGUGUCUUCUUCUGUUGCCUGGUAAUGCUGCUUCCCCCUCAGGGGGAGGUAAUUAAAGAGCAGGGAAUCUUAUGAAAGAAGUGGGAGAUAGAAAGACCUGGAGGGGACAGGAGCUCCACAAGGAGAGCAACAGAACCAAAAAACUGGGCCCAGUGGUCUUUUCUGAGACUGAUACUCCAACCAAGGACCAUGCAUGGAGAUACUGUAGAACCCCUGCACAGUUGUAGCCCAUGGCAACUCAGUCUCCAAGUGGGUUCUCUAGUAAGGGAACUGGGACUGUCUCUGACA